RNAcentral lists this long non-coding RNA (536 nucleotides) under Nicotiana benthamiana. Its description in RNAcentral is "long non-coding RNA (NBEN_LNC005972)". Lineage: Eukaryota; Viridiplantae; Streptophyta; Magnoliopsida; Solanales; Solanaceae. The record is from RNAcentral.
UUAAUUAUAGGCAUAAUUUGUGGAACUAUGUAUCUUCUCAGAUUUUAUUCUACACGUUUCUUCUCUCUCUUACAAACAAAACCCACGAUUUUCUCCCCCUUUUUAAUUACCCCCCCCCCACGUUUUUUUACCAAAACUGAUUUCUCUCUCUCUCUGCUUGAAUUUCAUCCGCCAUUGUCGAAGCUUGAACAGUUUCAGAUCGAGAAGUUUUUCUCAAUCCACCAUACUUUUAGUCCAUAAAAUUGUAUCAAAGCCAGAAACCCUCUACAAAAUCGAUUUCGCUCUCUCUCUCUUUUGAAGUCGGAUAACAUGUCAGUUUGUAUGUCCUUUGGCGUGUAAACAGUCUUAGAUCACAAUACUUUGGAACGACAAUGCUACCAACUAUUGUUGCAGUAAAUUUGCGCUGUAUGAAUGUUUCAUCCAUUCGGCAGCAUGUGUGUUGUCGACUAAAACUUCUUAUCUUGAACAAUGAAGAAUCAUGAAUUGACAUUGCCUUGAAAUGCCAUUUGCAGUUCUCAGCUACACAUACAAGCCAG